UCCUGGGCUUAUAUCUGACAACUUUCAAAAAGACACGUGGACCUCAAUGUUUAUAGCAGCACUAUUUACAAUAGCCAAGACAUGGAAACAACCUAAAUGUCCAUUGACAGAUGACUGUAUAAAGAAGUUGUGGUAUAUUUAUACAAUGGAAUACUAC
Non-coding RNA from Vicugna pacos (alpaca), 157 nucleotides. Lineage: Eukaryota; Metazoa; Chordata; Mammalia; Artiodactyla; Camelidae. The record is from RefSeq and is a predicted model, not a curated record.